RNAcentral lists this long non-coding RNA (559 nucleotides) under Paramuricea clavata. Lineage: Eukaryota; Metazoa; Cnidaria; Anthozoa; Malacalcyonacea; Plexauridae. The record is from RNAcentral.
GUAAAAUGUUUUACUGUUCGUCUGUAUGGUCUAAUACUGCAGAGAAAAAUCUAAAAAAGCUACAGACUGCACAGAAUUUCGCUGCACGCAUUGUGACGGGAACUCGUAAAUACGAUCACAUUACUCCCGUAUUGAAAGACCUUAAGUGGCUACCCGUUAAAUUACAACUUUAUUAUCGAGACGCGAUCCUGGCGUACAAAUGUAUGAAUGGCCACGCUCCAUCUUACUUGUCUAGUCAGUUUAUUAAACGAUGUGACGUGAGUAAGCGGACUACCAGAAGCUCACAGUUGCUGAAUAUUCCACUGUUUAAGACCGCUAGUGGCCAAAGAUCCUUUUAUUACCGUACAGUAAGCUUAUGGAACUCAUUAGAAACUUCUUUAAAAUUAAGUGACUCUGUACAUAUUUUUAAGCAAAAAAUGAAAACUCAAUUACUAAAUCAGUUUAUACUAUCUUAGGACUAGUAUUUCGUUUUGUACAUAAUUAGUUUAUUACUUAUUGUAAAUGAUCACUGAAAAGCCUCCUUGGGGAGUGUUCAUUAAAUUAUUGUAUUGUAUUGUAU